Long non-coding RNA from Myotis davidii, 489 nucleotides. RefSeq lists it as uncharacterized. Lineage: Eukaryota; Metazoa; Chordata; Mammalia; Chiroptera; Vespertilionidae. The record is from RefSeq and is a predicted model, not a curated record. The transcript is spliced from 2 exons.
GGGAGGCGGGAUGCUGAAGUCCUGCAUCCCUCUUCCUGCCUUUCUUGGGCACAAAAUACGCGAAUCCAAGGCCUAGUUCCGGCAAUGGCAGCUCCUGGGGUGGACUCCGGGGCUGCUUUAGUCCGAAUGAUCUGGUGGGACUUGAGGAUGCCAAGUCCAGAGUCUAGCUGGGCAAGAGAACAUGUGUGGUAAGUGUGGUUAUUUGUGGCUUUCCCCCAUUGGACCAUGGACUCCAUGAGCAGGGACAGUUUAGCUGUCCAUGCGUACACUAACAAUUAUGGCAGCCCCACCACCACCAAACCAUGAAAAUGUAAUGUUAAACUUAAUUUCCUUGCCCUGACUAGUGUAGCUUAAGUGGUUGGUUGGGUUUCCUGCCUUGCACCAGGUUGCCAGAUUGGUCAUGCUGUGUGUGGCAAGGCGGGACACAGCUGAUCAAUGUUUCUCUCCCCGUCCCCGCUUGCUGUCUAAAAACCAAUUUUAAGAAAUCUU